UUGAUCCUGGCUCAGGAUGAACGCUGGCGGCGUGCCUAAUACAUGCAAGUCGAGCGAACGGACGAGAAGCUUGCUUCUCUGAUGUUAGCGGCGGACGGGUGAGUAACACGUGGAUAACCUACCUAUAAGACUGGGAUAACUUCGGGAAACCGGAGCUAAUACCGGAUAAUAUUUUGAACCGCAUGGUUCAAAAGUGAAAGACGGUCUUGCUGUCACUUAUAGAUGGAUCCGCGCUGCAUUAGCUAGUUGGUAAGGUAACGGCUUACCAAGGCAACGAUGCAUAGCCGACCUGAGAGGGUGAUCGGCCACACUGGAACUGAGACACGGUCCAGACUCCUACGGGAGGCAGCAGUAGGGAAUCUUCCGCAAUGGGCGAAAGCCUGACGGAGCAACGCCGCGUGAGUGAUGAAGGUCUUCGGAUCGUAAAACUCUGUUAUUAGGGAAGAACAUAUGUGUAAGUAACUGUGCACAUCUUGACGGUACCUAAUCAGAAAGCCACGGCUAACUACGUGCCAGCAGCCGCGGUAAUACGUAGGUGGCAAGCGUUAUCCGGAAUUAUUGGGCGUAAAGCGCGCGUAGGCGGUUUUUUAAGUCUGAUGUGAAAGCCCACGGCUCAACCGUGGAGGGUCAUUGGAAACUGGAAAACUUGAGUGCAGAAGAGGAAAGUGGAAUUCCAUGUGUAGCGGUGAAAUGCGCAGAGAUAUGGAGGAACACCAGUGGCGAAGGCGACUUUCUGGUCUGUAACUGACGCUGAUGUGCGAAAGCGUGGGGAUCAAACAGGAUUAGAUACCCUGGUAGUCCACGCCGUAAACGAUGAGUGCUAAGUGUUAGGGGGUUUCCGCCCCUUAGUGCUGCAGCUAACGCAUUAAGCACUCCGCCUGGGGAGUACGACCGCAAGGUUGAAACUCAAAGGAAUUGACGGGGACCCGCACAAGCGGUGGAGCAUGUGGUUUAAUUCGAAGCAACGCGAAGAACCUUACCAAAUCUUGACAUCCUUUGACAACUCUAGAGA
This 1012-nucleotide ribosomal RNA is filed under the name Staphylococcus aureus. Its description in RNAcentral is "bacterial SSU rRNA". It matches the Rfam family "Bacterial small subunit ribosomal RNA", at positions 13 to 1006 of the family's 1533-position model. Lineage: Bacteria; Bacillati; Bacillota; Bacilli; Caryophanales; Staphylococcaceae. The record is from RNAcentral.